This 513-nucleotide ribosomal RNA is filed under the name Enterococcus faecium. RNAcentral's name for it is "bacterial SSU rRNA". It matches the Rfam family "Bacterial small subunit ribosomal RNA", at positions 17 to 501 of the family's 1533-position model. Lineage: Bacteria; Bacillati; Bacillota; Bacilli; Lactobacillales; Enterococcaceae. The record is from RNAcentral.
UCCUGUCUCAGGACGAACGCUGGCGGCGUGCCUAAUACAUGCAAGUCGAACGCUUCUUUUUCCACCGGAGCUUGCUCCACCGGAAAAAGAGGAGUGGCGAACGGGUGAGUAACACGUGGGUAACCUGCCCAUCAGAAGGGGAUAACACUUGGAAACAGGUGCUAAUACCGUAUAACAAUCGAAACCGCAUGGUUUUGAUUUGAAAGGCGCUUUCGGGUGUCGCUGAUGGAUGGACCCGCGGUGCAUUAGCUAGUUGGUGAGGUAACGGCUCACCAAGGCCACGAUGCAUAGCCGACCUGAGAGGGUGAUCGGCCACAUUGGGACUGAGACACGGCCCAAACUCCUACGGGAGGCAGCAGUAGGGAAUCUUCGGCAAUGGACGAAAGUCUGACCGAGCAACGCCGCGUGAGUGAAGAAGGUUUUCGGAUCGUAAAACUCUGUUGUUAGAGAAGAACAAGGAUGAGAGUAACUGUUCAUCCCUUGACGGUAUCUAACCAGAAAGCCACGGCUAAC